GACAGAGGAUGCAAGCGUUAUCCGGAAUGAUUGGGCGUAAAGCGUCUGUAGGUGGCUUUUUAAGUCUGCCGUCAAAUCCCAGGGCUUAACCCUGGACAGGCGGUGGAAACUACCAAGCUGGAGUACGGUAGGGGCAGGGGGAAUUUCCGGUGGAGCGGUGAAAUGCGUAGAGAUCGGAAAGAACACCAACGGCGAAGGCGGCAUCCUGGACCAUAACUGACGCUGAGGCGCGAAAGCUAGGGGAGCAAACGGG
Molecule: ribosomal RNA, 253 nt
Filed under: uncultured bacterium
Lineage: Bacteria
Description: partial 16S ribosomal RNA
Rfam family: Bacterial small subunit ribosomal RNA
Source: RNAcentral